This is a long non-coding RNA of Gossypium raimondii (Peruvian cotton), 962 nucleotides long. RefSeq lists it as uncharacterized. Lineage: Eukaryota; Viridiplantae; Streptophyta; Magnoliopsida; Malvales; Malvaceae. The record is from RefSeq and is a predicted model, not a curated record. The transcript is spliced from 3 exons.
CGCCUAGAAAACAGCACCUACCUACCCAAAGCAAAAGAGAUAAAAUCAACAGCUUUUUAAUGGAAUAAAACAUUCUCUUUAAGAAAACAUUUCCAUCUCCCCUGAACCCAUCCCCAAAUUCCCUCGACGGUUGCCAUUUCCCAGUUGUUCCAUCAUCUCAGAUCAUUGGUUGUCUUCCUUUGCCGCUUCCAUCACAGACGUGGGCAUUCUCUCCAUCAAAUAAGUGUUUCUUUAUCACAUUGAUACUAUCCUCUUCAACCACCACUUUCCGAAAUCCUAGAUCCAGACCCAUUUGGAUUCCUUGAAGGCACCUAAUCGCUUCUGCCGCAAAAGAGGAUUUGUACGAACAACCUAGAAAAGAUGCAUCGAAGUUUAUCUUCACAAAAGACGUUUCUGGUGGCCGCAUCUCUCUGGUUGGGUACGUCUGACAGGUGACGAACUUUUACCUCUUCAAGUUCCUGUAAGAAUGAUCUGAUAAAAUGCACCUUUUCUGUAUUCUAUCGAUAUUUUCUUUCAUGCACCUGUUUGUUUCUGUCUCCCAGAUCGCCCAAAUUGCACAUAUUGUUAUCCUGCAUAUAUUUGUAGAAUAUUCUAUGAACAACCAAUCCAUCCACUGUCUAUAACACUCAUUUGAAUUGUUUGUAGGCCAUUUGACAUUUAACAUGCUCCAUAUUUACUUGACAGCUUGACAAUCACGAAAAACAUGUUCUAGGUACUCUUCUCCAUUAGAGCAUCUAGGACAUGCUGCCGAGCUCCUCAAUCUUCUUUUUUGUAGAUUGUUGUAAGUAGGAAUGAAGUUUUUGUAAACUGUCCAGAAUGUAGUUUUUAUUUUUUCGGUAGCUCUGUCUGCCAUAGUUUCUUGUACACUUGCUUGGAUGAAAUUUGGUAGAGAUUAGGCACCAAAUUUGUAGAUUCUUAUAGUAGCACCAAUCUUAAAUUUUGACCCAUUACAUUUCUUUGAA